AGAUUGAACGCUGGCGGCAGGCCUAACACAUGCAAGUCGAGCGGCAGCACGGGUACUUGUACCUGGUGGCGAGCGGCGGACGGGUGAGUAAUGCCUAGGAAUCUGCCUGAUAGUGGGGGAUAACGCUCGGAAACGGACGCUAAUACCGCAUACGUCCUACGGGAGAAAGCAGGGGACCUUCGGGCCUUGCGCUAUCAGAUGAGCCUAGGUCGGAUUAGCUAGGUUGGUGGGGUACUAGUCGUCUACCAACGGACGGACCG
Molecule: ribosomal RNA, 260 nt
Filed under: uncultured soil bacterium
Lineage: Bacteria
Description: partial 16S ribosomal RNA
Rfam family: Bacterial small subunit ribosomal RNA
Source: RNAcentral